CUGUGUGUGUUGCCUGCCAGGCACUGUGUUCUCAAGCUACAUGGACAGGGGGAGUGUGACAAGCCAUGACCCCCAGCCUCACGGCGCUGCUCUGCCUGGGAGCCUACAGCAAACCCAGCCUCUCAGCCCUGCCCAGCCCUGCAGUGACCUCAGGAGGGACCGUGACCCUCCAGUGUGGCUCAUGGCUAAGAUUUGGCAAGUUCCUUCUGACUCAGGAAGGAGAAGAUGGGCUCUCCUGGACCCUGGACUCACAGCGAGGCCCCAGUGGGCAGUUCCAGGCCCUGUUCCCUGUGGGCCCUGUGACCGCUGGCCACAGGUGGAUGUUCAGAUGCUACGGCUAUGAGCAGGAACAAUCCCCAGGUGUGGUCGGAGCCCAGUGACACCCUGGAGCUCCUGGUCUCAGGUGAGGGAAGCCCCAGGCUUGUUUGAUUCAAUUUUUGGCCACGAAGCAGUUUGGGGGGAGCCUUUUCUUCAGGACAGCCACAGGUGAGAGAGAGAGGACGAGGGACACAGAGCUCCUGACUCACAGUCCCCAGGUGUCCUAGUUACUUUUUCUCAUUGCUGAGAUGAAAUACCCAACUCACAAAGUUAAGGGAGGAAAGGUUUAGUUAGCUCUGUUUGUAGAGGUUUCAGUCCAUAAUCAGCUGGCUCCAUGGCAAGAGGGCAUCACAGAGGAGAAACAGUUCAUGGUGGGCAGUGGGCAGCAAAGUGACCAAGACACCUGCAAGUGACAACAGCAGUGUCUUUCUGCCCGUUUGAUAGCUCUACCUAAGCUACCUGGCUUAGGGUGGUACCAAACCAAUCAGUGGACUACUUCAUUAAUCACAUGCUCUCAAUCCUAGCGUCACACACUAGAUCCAGCCACCUCUGAAGAAGCCCCACCUAUGACUGCGUGAGGCUUUGGGGGGACAGCUAGACACAAGCAGAACACCAGGUGUGAGAGACAGGGGAGACCCCCAGGGCAGGACGGGGGGGCAGGGCUGUGGCAGGAAGCAGCCCCUCAGCCCAGGUCCUCCUCCCCCAGGGCUGUCCAGGAAGCCCAUGGGGGUCAUCUGGAGGGGACUCAGCCCUAGAAGGGCAGAAAGCCAAUGGGGUCCUCCCAAGCAUGGUCAUUUUCAUUGCCAUCAUUGGAAUCCUGAAGGUUCCAGGUGGGGAGUGGGAGAGUCAUGUUGAGGCCACAGGGCAGAGGAGAGUAAGCAGAGACAAGGUCCCCAGGGACCGUGUCCUCUUGUGCCCAUUCCCAGGAUUCUCUGGGGGCCCCAUCCCCCCACUCUCAGGACCCAGCCCUGCAGCAGGUGAGUCCAGGGCCCCUGUCCCGAGUGUCCCAUGUCUAGGCUGCCUGGGGACUCAGACCAUGUCAACCCUGGUUCCAGCCUCAGCUCCACUUGUGUCCAGGGGACUGGGGAUCCGGCAGAGAUGUGGGGAACCCAGGUCCCCAGGGCUGAGAGUCAGGGUUGCAUGAGGGAUGGGUGAAGGCAGAGGGAGAUGUUGGGGUCCAGCCUGGGGGAGGAGCAGCAGCUGAAAUGGGGAGCAGGGAGCCCAGCCCCUCACCUCCCCAGCCCACCCAGGAGGGCCUGAGGAUCAGCCACGCAGCCCCCAAAGUCAGGAAAACAGGCUGGCUACGGUGAGUGAGGG
This 1635-nucleotide long non-coding RNA is filed under the name Heterocephalus glaber (naked mole-rat). RNAcentral describes it as "lncRNA (ENSHGLG00000042813.1)". Lineage: Eukaryota; Metazoa; Chordata; Mammalia; Rodentia; Bathyergidae. The record is from RNAcentral.